This 254-nucleotide transfer-messenger RNA is filed under the name Prevotella sp. RNAcentral's name for it is "partial transfer-messenger RNA". It matches the Rfam family "transfer-messenger RNA", at positions 1 to 211 of the family's 374-position model. From Rfam's summary of the family: Bacterial tmRNA, also known as 10Sa RNA or SsrA, is named for its dual tRNA and mRNA-like properties. Its role is to liberate the mRNA from a stalled ribosome. To accomplish this part of the tmRNA is used as a reading frame that ends in a translation stop signal. The record is from RNAcentral. Lineage: Bacteria; Pseudomonadati; Bacteroidota; Bacteroidia; Bacteroidales; Prevotellaceae.
GGGGUUGACUGGAUUUGACAGCAAGCUGAGAUGGUACGUAAGCAUGCGGAGUGACGACUGUAUACUCCAUAAUCCAUUCGGUCAGAAAAUUAAUUGGCAACAACAAGUAUGCUCUCGCUGCCUAAUCGAAGUACAGUAGAUUACUGGCUUUAUUCCGUCACUAGGUGAUGGAACGAGACGUCGCUCCAAGGAUGUUGUUCCGAAUCUGAGGAUCAAGCGGCGCAGGAAAAUCGGGAAUAGUCAUGCCGGGCCUU